This is a long non-coding RNA of Eriocheir sinensis (Chinese mitten crab), 1331 nucleotides long. RefSeq lists it as uncharacterized. The transcript is spliced from 5 exons. Lineage: Eukaryota; Metazoa; Arthropoda; Malacostraca; Decapoda; Varunidae. The record is from RefSeq and is a predicted model, not a curated record.
GUCCCGCAGCUUCACGCAGACAUCUAUGAACUCUGCGCAGCGCGGCGUCAGUGAGUGGCUUCCAGCGAGGACGUGAGGAUGUUCGCUCAGUUGCUCCGUAAAACUUUCUUUCUGACCCACUGCUUCCCUAUGUCUAUGACAGGAUUUCUAUCAUACGAAAAUUUCUUUCCACCUGAACCAGACAGUCAAAGUUAUGCCACCCUGUCAGGGUUGCAACACAAUUCUGCUUCUUCAACCAUCCUACACAGUAUUUUUCCUACAAGGAGUACAGUAAGACUAAACAACCAGAACUGCUUAGCACUGCAGGGAACAUCAUCAACCACUGAACCCUGGAACCACCUCUUAAGGUGAACUCCAUGCUCAGUAUGCUGCUGGGCUAAAUACCAACAGGGCAAACUAUUUUUAGUCCACAACCAACUUCAGGAAGUGGUGUUCAGCGCAGGACAGUGAUUAAGAGGGCCUCAGACAGCGUGUCCUUCCCACAAGAGCAUCAACCUGAAUAUCCAGCAAGACUUCAAGCAAGUUUAAGAUGAGGAAUGUGAAGUAAAAUGAAAAUGCUUAUCAGGUGGUCCUGGCCAUUUAUUCGAAAAGAGAGAGAGCUGAAGCCACAGGGAUCCAUUUGGCUUGAUGCUAAAGUGUCAGCCUCCUGUCUUGGGGACCCGGGUUCCAAUCCCAGGCUGAAUGUUUGGUUAUCUUAUAUAGACCAAUUUUUUUAUGUGCCUCUGUUGUGGAGAACAUUUCCACUUCUCAAGACACAUGAGAAAUAAUUCUAUUCAGGAGAAAUCCCUUAUGUGACUGGGGGGUUUGUAAAUAUACUGUGGGGGGGACAUCCUGUGGGGCCCUGAGAGCUGUGUGCUCUCUCUCUCUCUCUCUCUGUGUGUGUGUGUGUACAAAGCUGCAGUAAGAGCUUAGACCAGUGUGGAAGCUGGUCAUCAGCACAGUAUGAACAUGACUUGAGAUUGCAGACCAGCCUUUCACUUGCAUCAGGAAGGCUCAGGACAACCACAGCCUUGUAGGCAUACAACAAUUGUAUUCUAUAUUAGCUCAUGCUAAUCAGUCACUUCUAGAAUCUUGUGAUAUGUGGCUUAACGGGCACCAAGCCGCAAGGGACUGCAAGGAAACAAUGUGCAUCAGGUAGCCUGAGCUAUAAAAAUGUCUGCAUUUAACAACAGCCUUCAGUACCUGCUGGAGGUGGUGUGUGCUGCCCUGCCAGCCAAGUGGUAGGACACACGGGGGGGCAUGGUCUGUAGCGGUGGGCUCGGAGUCCACACAUCUUUCUAAACUUGUUUGUAAUGAAUGGUGUAAAAUAAAAUUGUUUAUAAUUACUUGAA